RNAcentral lists this transfer RNA (70 nucleotides) under Podarcis lilfordi (Lilford's wall lizard). RNAcentral describes it as "tRNA.Ile". The stretch from base 4 to 62 matches the Rfam family "tRNA", at positions 8 to 63 of the family's 71-position model. Rfam says of the family: Transfer RNA (tRNA) molecules are approximately 80 nucleotides in length. The record is from RNAcentral. Lineage: Eukaryota; Metazoa; Chordata; Lepidosauria; Squamata; Lacertidae.
GGAUAGCUCAGUCGGUUAGAGUGCUGUGCUGAUAACACCAAGGCUGCAGGUUCAAUCCCUGUAUGGGACA